GAAUCUUUCACAAUGGACGAAAGUCUGAUGGAGCCAGGCCGCGUGCGCGAAGAAGGUUUUUGGAUCGUAAAGCACUGUUGUAAGGGAAGAACACGUAAGGGGGUACCUGCGCGUUCCAUGACGGUACCUUAUUAGAAAGCCACGGCUAACUCCGUGCCGCCCGCCGCGGUAAUACGUAGGUGGCAAGCGUUGUCCGAAAUUAUUGGGCGUAAAGCGCGCGCAGGCGGUUCUUUAAGGCUGAGGUGAAAGCCCACGGCUCAACCGUGGAGGGUCAUUGGAAACUGGAGAACUUGAGUACAGAAGAGGAAAGCGGAAUUCCACGUGUAGCGGUGAAAUGCGUAGAGAUGUGGAGGAACACCAGUGGCGAAGGCGGCUUUCUGGUCUGUAACUGACGCUGAGGCGCGAAAGCGUGGGGAGCAAACA
RNAcentral lists this ribosomal RNA (423 nucleotides) under uncultured bacterium. RNAcentral's name for it is "partial 16S ribosomal RNA". It matches the Rfam family "Bacterial small subunit ribosomal RNA", at positions 359 to 774 of the family's 1533-position model. The record is from RNAcentral.